RNAcentral lists this ribosomal RNA (468 nucleotides) under uncultured bacterium. RNAcentral describes it as "partial 16S ribosomal RNA". It matches the Rfam family "Bacterial small subunit ribosomal RNA", at positions 28 to 507 of the family's 1533-position model. The record is from RNAcentral.
GACGAACGCUGGCGGCGUGCUUAAUACAUGCCAGUCGAACGGUAAGGCCCUGCUUUGGUGGGGUGCUCGAGUUGCGAACGGGUGAGUAACACGUAAGUAACCUGCCCUGUACUGGGGGAUAACUUUAGGAAACUGUAGCUAAUACCGGAUAGCAGCUCCUGCUGCAUGGUGUGGGUUGGAAAGUUUCGACGGUUGGAGUAGGACUCGGGGCUGAGCUGCUUUUUGGUGGGGUAGUGGCUUAGAAAGGCUUUGACGGGUAGCCGGCCUGGGAGGGUGACAGGCCACAUAGGGACAGAGAUAGCACCAAGACGGAUACGGGAGGAAGAAGUGGGGAAUAUUGCACGAUGGGCGGCAGCAUGAAGCAGCGACGCCGGGUGCGAGAUGACGGCUGUCAGGUUGUAAACAGCUUGAGCGUGUGAAGAAGAGUGAGUGACGGUAACGGGUCAAGAAGCAACGGCUAACUACGUG